ACGUACACUCCUACGGGAGGCAGCAGUGGGGAAUAUUGCACAAUGGGCGCAAGCCUGAUGCAGCCAUGCCGCGUGUAUGAAGAAGGCCUUCGGGUUGUAAAGUACUUUCAGCGGGGAGGAAGGUGUUGAGGUUAAUAACCUCAGCAAUUGACGUUACCCGCAGAAGAAGCACCGGCUAACUCCGUGCCAGCAGCCGCGGUAAUACGGAGGGUGCAAGCGUUAAUCGGAAUUACUGGGCGUAAAGCGCACGCAGGCGGUCUGUCAAGUCGGAUGUGAAAUCCCCGGGCUCAACCUGGGAACUGCAUUCGAAACUGGCAGGCUAGAGUCUUGUAGAGGGGGGUAGAAUUCCAGGUGUAGCGGUGAAAUGCGUAGAGAUCUGGAGGAAUACCGGUGGCGAAGGCGGCCCCCUGGACAAAGACUGACGCUCAGGUGCGAAAGCGUGGGGAGCAAACAGGAUUAGAUACCCCUGUAGUCCCA
RNAcentral lists this ribosomal RNA (477 nucleotides) under uncultured organism. RNAcentral describes it as "partial 16S ribosomal RNA". It matches the Rfam family "Bacterial small subunit ribosomal RNA", at positions 329 to 797 of the family's 1533-position model. The record is from RNAcentral.